CUGUGUCUGCAGGUUGAGGAUUCUUCCCACGCUAUUACCAGCAUUUGUUAACCUUUUUGAAACCUGUCUUUUCUUUCCUAGGUCACUAUUGCCCCAGGAAUACACAGUUUGCCACACAGUAUCCUUGUCCCCCUGGAACCUAUAGUGAAGUUUUAAAUACUUGGGAUGCUUCGAAGUGCCAGCUGUGUCCUCCUGGAAGGGUCUGUUCCAAGCCGGGUUUAGCAAGACCAGAUGGACUGUGCAUGCCUGGAUGGUUUUGUCCACCUGGAUCCACAUCAAGCAAACCAGUGUUUCCUGGAAAUUACACUGGUACGAAGGGAAACAAUAAAGAUAAAGUGUGAUGGUGAUUAUUAUGGAGGAGGUGGUUAUUACAGAGUCGUCACCCAAAGGGACUUGGCCAGGUUCAGGGUGGCGGACUUUCCCUUUUUACUUUCCUUAAUUCAGUGCUCUGGGUCUGUCCUUCCUGAACUCUUUAGGUAAGAUAGAGUGCUUGCAAUUUUUAUGUUUCAGCUCAGUCUGCAUCUUUUCCAUUAGCAGGCACGACAGCUUCAGCUUCUGGGUCUGUUGGGUUGUGCCAAGCAGGAACCUUUUGUCCUGCUGGUUCAUUUCUUCCUCUGCCCUGCACUCCAGGUUUGUACUGUGCAACUGCAGAGCUCGCAGCUCCGUCAGGUCCUUGUGAGGCUGGCUUCUACUGCACGGGGGGCUCCGCGCUCCCAAACCCCAUGGAUGGAGCAGUGGGGAACAUUUGUCCUCGAGGCCACUUUUGUCCUGCCGGGAGUUCUUCUCCAUCUCCGUGUCCCCCAGGCUCCUUUUUGGCUCAUCGUGGUGGCCAGUCAGCACAGGACUGCCAGGCCUGCAUCCCAGGGUGGUUCUGUUCUCAGCGAGGUCAGAGCUCCCCGGAGGGCUUGUGUAAAGAAGGAUGGUUUUGCCCAGAGGGCUCUGCAUCAGGCCAGCAUUCAGACUAUCUGUGUCCUGUGGGUCACUAUUGCCCCACUGGCAGCCCAGAGCCCGUACCGUGUCCCUCUGGAAAAUAUCAGGACCAGGCUGGUUCUGUGCCCCAGAAGACCACCCAGGUGAUCUCCAAGAGAACUUCUCACAAGGUGUGGUCAAACCAAUAGAAUGUCCAGCAGGAUAUUACUGCCCAUCGGGAACAAGAGCUGCCAAUCAGUACCCGUGCCCAGAGGGCACCUACAGUAACCAAACUGGAGUGGGAAAUCCCAGGGAAUGCAAGCCUUGUCCUGGAGGCACAUUUUGUGCCAGUGCAGGACUCUCGUCCCCAAGCGGUCCUUGUUUGCCUGGGUAUUACUGCACUUCGAAGGCCCGUGUACCCAAUCCUGUCAAUGAUGAGACGGGCAGCCUUUGCCCAGCAGGCUGUUACUGCCCACCUGGCAGCAGCAAACCAGAGCUGUGUCCCACUGGCACGUUCUUACCUCAGUCUGGGAUGGUUUACCGUAACGCCUGUCUGCCCUGCCCUGGGGGGAAGUUCUGCCAAGGAGAAGGCCUGGCCAGGGUUUCUGGUGCGUAA
RNAcentral lists this long non-coding RNA (1525 nucleotides) under Calidris pygmaea (Spoon-billed sandpiper). RNAcentral's name for it is "lncRNA (ENSCPGG00000007407.1)". Lineage: Eukaryota; Metazoa; Chordata; Aves; Charadriiformes; Scolopacidae. The record is from RNAcentral.